This 254-nucleotide ribosomal RNA is filed under the name uncultured prokaryote. Its description in RNAcentral is "partial 16S ribosomal RNA". It matches the Rfam family "Bacterial small subunit ribosomal RNA", at positions 524 to 777 of the family's 1533-position model. The record is from RNAcentral.
UACUGAGGAUCCGAGCGUUAUCCGGAAUUAUUGGGUUUAAAGGGUGCGUAGGCGGCCAUUUAAGUCAGCGGUGAAAUUUUGCAGCUUAACUGUAACAGUGCCGUUGAUACUGGGGAGCUAGGAUUUGGUUGCUGUGGGUGGAAUGUGUGGUGUAGCGGUGAAAUGCUUAGAGAUCACACAGAAUAUCGAUUGCGAAGGCAGCUCACAAAGCCAAGAUUGACGCUGAGGCACGAAAGUGUGGGGAUCAAACAGGA